GCGAACGCUGGCGGCAGGCCUAACACAUGCAAGUCGAACGAACUCUUCGGAGUUAGUGGCGGACGGGUGAGUAACACGUGGGAACGUGCCUUUUGGUUCGGAAUAACUCAGGGAAACUUGUGCUAAUACCGAAUGUGCCCUUCGGGGGAAAGAUUUAUCGCCAUUAGAGCGGCCCGCGUCUGAUUAGCUAGUUGGUGAGGUAACGGCUCACCAAGGCGACGAUCAGUAGCUGGUCUGAGAGGAUGACCAGCCACACUGGGACUGAGACACGGCCCAGACUCCUACGGGAGGCAGCAGUGGGGAAUCUUGCGCAAUGGGCGAAAGCCUGACGCAGCCAUGCCGCGUGAAUGAUGAAGGUCUUAGGACUGUAAAAUUCUUUCACCGGGGACGAUAAUGACGGUACCCGGAGAAGAAGCCCCGGCUAACUUCGUG
This 432-nucleotide ribosomal RNA is filed under the name uncultured bacterium. Its description in RNAcentral is "partial 16S ribosomal RNA". It matches the Rfam family "Bacterial small subunit ribosomal RNA", at positions 29 to 507 of the family's 1533-position model. The record is from RNAcentral.